Alligator sinensis (Chinese alligator) is the source of this 1183-nucleotide long non-coding RNA. RefSeq lists it as uncharacterized. The transcript has 6 exons. Lineage: Eukaryota; Metazoa; Chordata; Crocodylia; Alligatoridae. The record is from RefSeq and is a predicted model, not a curated record.
UCCUGAACCAGGGCCUUAGCUUGUAUUUUGGGGUGGAGGUGACCUAGUCAAUGCCACUAAAAAAAUCUAUUCAGCUGGUAUAAUCAACAUAGCUGCACUAAAUUCAAUAGCAGCUAUAUUAAUUUUAUACCAGUGAAGGGGCUGGGUAAAGAGCAGUAUGUCUUUGGUGCUUUGGAGUAGGCAGGAGACCAUAUUGUGUUUCAGAGUCCCAAUAUUUCUUCAGGAGAAAAUACCAUGCCCCAGAUCUACACCUGGAACAGGUUAUCCCAUCCCUCCUCCUUGCUACUCAGCUGUUCUGACCAGAGCAUUAGUGGGAGAAGCCCAGGUACUUUCACCCCCUGCACCGGAGAAGGAGCAGUACCUCUGUGGAUAUCCCACUGAGGGAAGGAGGCAGUAUCUUAUUUCCUGCUGUAACCUGCAUGGGAACAAAGGGUAUGUCAUAAUCGUGAUGCAUAUGACCCAUCCUAAUCAAAAGAAUCUGGUAUUACUACCACUCCAGAGAAGAAAAUAGACUCUUCUGUAUUCUCCUCAGCUCAGCAAUCUGCAAGCACCUGAGAUAAGCGUUUCUCCUUCUGAAUAAAUGCAUUUGAAAAUCAAGGCUCUAACUAAAGUUGGCACUUCUGAUCCACCCACUGUGCUUCUCUGCUGUCUACAUUGGAUCAACAGGGCAACUCUGAUGCAAAGGAACGAGGGGACGUUGAUCUGACAAAAGCCUUUGGCAGGAGACUUUAAAUUGCCUGGACUUUCCUGACCUCAGAAUAGCUGUUUUUAUCCAGUAAAACUUUGAAAGCCAACUUGAACGCAAAAUUGAGGAAAAGAAAUCAUCCACGCGCUGGUUUGUGAAUAAUACCUAGAGCUGUCAUGGAGUGCAACUCCAAAUCCCAUUGCUUAAAUUAAAGCCAGUUCUGAAGAGCAGAAGCACAACAACAUUGCACCAUAAAAAGAUUUUUAACUCCGACACGAUCUGCUUUCAGUCUGGAAGACGAUGCUUCUUGUUUACAGCCUGCAGAUCCUGGAAUCCACAGGUACAUUUCAUCACCUCCACCUUCAUUACUUGGAACUAAAACUGUCCUUGGCUUUUGGGAUGGCGAUAAAAUGUGCCUCAUAGUUGAUCCAAAUACAAAGAAUGACGCAUAACGGAAACAAAUGGAGCCUCCACAAUAUUCUAAUAUAAUAAAAGCUG